RNAcentral lists this ribosomal RNA (893 nucleotides) under uncultured bacterium. RNAcentral describes it as "bacterial SSU rRNA". It matches the Rfam family "Bacterial small subunit ribosomal RNA", at positions 48 to 896 of the family's 1533-position model. The record is from RNAcentral.
AUUAGGCAUGCAAGUCGAACGAGAAGCUUUUCAAUCAUAUCCUUCGGGAGAGACUGUUAAGUAGACAGUGGCGAAAGGGUGAGUAACGCGUGGGCAAUCUACCCUUGAGUUGGGGAUAACGUUUGGAAACGAACGCUAAUACCGAAUGUGGUUCCUGGUCGCAUGGCCGGGACACUAAAGGUGGGGAUUCUUCGGAACCUGCCGCUCUUGGAGGAGCCCGCGUAUGAUUAGCUUGUUGGUAAGGUAACGGCUUACCAAGGCUCCGAUCAUUAGCUGGUCUGAGAGGAUGGUCAGCCACACUGGGACUGAGACACUGCCCAGACUCCUACGGGAGGCUGCAGUCGAGAAUCAUUCGCAAUGCGCGAAAGCGUGACGAUGCGACGCUGCGUGGAGGAUGACGGCCUUAGGGUUGUAAACUCCUGUCAUAAGGGAAAAGACAGUGGUGGGUUAAUAACCCAUCGCCUCGAUGGUACCUUAAGAGGAAGCCACGGCUAACUCUGUGCCAGCAGCCGCGGUAAUACAGAGGUGGCGAGCGUUGUUCGGAUUUACUGGGCGUAAAGGGUGCGUAGGCGGUUUGGUAAGUCGGAUGUGAAAGCCCAAGGCUCAACUUUGGAACUGCAUCCGAUACUGCUGAACUAGAGUGCAGGAGGGGAGAGCGGAAUUCUUGGUGUAGCGGUGAAAUGCGUUGAUAUCAAGAAGAACACCGGUGGCGAAGGCGGCUCUCUGGAAUGUUACUGACGCUGAGGCACGAAAGCUGGGGGAGCAAACAGGAUUAGAUACCCUGGUAGUCCCAGCCGUAAACGGUGUCGACUUGGUGUGGGGGGAAUUGACCCCCUCCGUGCCCGGAGCUAACGCGUUAAGUCGACCGCCUGGGGAGUACGGCCGCAAGGCUA